ACUACACCAGAGCACCCGCCAACCGCCCACGGUCUCAUGAAUGGAAACAUAUUUUGUUUUGUUUAUCUUGUGGUGGUGAUCACGAGGAGUUUUUGGCUGUCGUCUGUCGACGUGGAAGGCACUAACUACAGACUGCGCCCGAACCGAGCCACCUAAAUCACUGAGAACGGCGAGCGACAGCAAUCAGCAGGAUUUGAACUUGCCACAGCAAUCAGCAGGAUUUGAACUUGCCACAGCGAUCAGCAGGAUUUGAACUUGCCACAGCAAUCAGCAGGAUUUGAACUUGCCACAGCAAUCAGUAGCAGGAUUUGAACUAGUUCCGCCCGUACCAGCCUCCGACGCUCGCCCUACUGUGUCACGGACUGUCUGUCGUCGCCAUCCAAUAUCAGAAUCUCGCCGCCCGGACGAUAGGAGAGCGCUUUAUCGCUGACAGUGGUGAAACUACAGGUCCCACUUCGUCAGCCUUUUGUCUAGAUCAAGGCGGUCUCUGUCUAUCUCUCUAUCUAUCCCUGACUGUGUUGGAAGUACCAGUACACUUCGUCAGCCUUUGUCUAGACCAAGGCGGUCUCGAGCUAUCUACCGGGUAUCUACCUGUCUCUGUGACACGGGCGGUGUGCACACGCGUUGACGUGGAGUUGUGGGAACAUACGGUCAAUAUUGUCUGAGUCGUCUGUCUGAUUGACUGAAGGCUUAUAGAAAGGCGGACGUCUUCUAGACAGGUGGAUGUCUUAUAGACAGCAGGACGUCACGUCUUCAAGAAAGGUGGACGGCUUAUACAGUGUCAGUAUCCUAUAAGGUAUACACCAGGGAGGAAACUGGAAGUGACUUCUUGUGCAGGUGAUUGUCUUACACAGGUGAUUGUUAGAGCAGGUUGGACUGUAGAUAUCUAAAAGCAAAAGGAACCAUCGCUGUGUGACGUCAGACGUGCUAUUGUUUCGGGAAGCGAAACGUUUUAAGAACUGUGUGGCUGAAACAUUAACCUCUCACUUGUUGUAAACAAUGUAGACAUUUUGGGAUUUUCACACAAGUCUCAAGACUUGAGAAGAGUGUAAGGGGGUACAUUGUACGUGUAUUUCUGAGUCCAGGGUGAAUUCUUAGGCGGAGUCAAUCAUUUCGCUGAAAGUUUGGAUGAAAGCAUUGUUUUGGUUGUUGUUUUGGGUUGUUUUGUGCUUGUGGUUUUUUUCUCCUCCUAAAGUGGUGAAUCACAUGUCACGUGUUCUGAUGUUGUUCUAUUGUUGUUCUGUUUUACUGCAGUGUGAGAUAAAUAAUAGUUUAUAACAACACCAGAACUCAGUAUUCACAAGAAGUUUAUUCAAGUUCACCUGCCAGUGGACAACACGAGCUAGAACCACCAUCAACAUCAACACCUUUCUUCCAGAUACCACAACUCCCAAAUCCAUCUCCUGUGCCUCUUUCAGUCACAAUAAACUACAAAACGCACUAUUGAGAACAUAAUUGGUGAUUUGUUUGUGAAUCACACAAGUUCUGAACUCUUCCCAACGAGUUCAACCGAUUUCAUUAUCACUCCCUGGUAUUUUAUACGUCUGCUCUUCACGCGGCUGCUAUCAGCUGGCUGUUGAACUUAUCAACACGACGCAAAAAAAAAAGCAAAAAGCAAAAACAAGGAAAAAGCAACAACCUCUACAUUUCCUAGCUUCUUUUCAUACCACCACCAUCAUUAUCACCCCGACCAAGCUGACGGAAGGAGUUGAGAUACGAUUGGCUCAGGCUACAUCGGAAAGUCCAGAGUGCAACACGGAGAUAUUUUUCUACCACCAUACCAGCGCAGCUGUGUCAACAAGGCUGUAGGUCUAUACAGCCCUGAUCUCAACUCUCAACAAUUAUUUCUCAUCUGAGUAUCUAGUAGAAAAUUGAAUCAUCGACAUAAAAGAACAUUUUUGAACGCGCAUCCUAACCAAAAA
Aplysia californica (California sea hare) is the source of this 1922-nucleotide long non-coding RNA. RefSeq lists it as uncharacterized. The record is from RefSeq and is a predicted model, not a curated record. NCBI's taxonomy places the organism in Eukaryota, Metazoa, Mollusca, Gastropoda, Aplysiida, Aplysiidae. The transcript is spliced from 2 exons.